This 467-nucleotide ribosomal RNA is filed under the name uncultured bacterium. RNAcentral's name for it is "partial 16S ribosomal RNA". It matches the Rfam family "Bacterial small subunit ribosomal RNA", at positions 28 to 506 of the family's 1533-position model. The record is from RNAcentral.
GACGAACGCUGGCGGCGUGCUUAACACAUGCAAGUCGAACGGAAAGGCCCUGCUUUUGUGGGGUGCUCGAGUGGCGAACGGGUGAGUAACACGUGAGUAACCUGCCCUUGACUUUGGGAUAACUUCAGGAAACUGGGGCUAAUACCGGAUAGGAGCUCCUGCUGCAUGGUGGGGGUUGGAAAGUUUCGGCGGUUGGGGAUGGACUCGCGGCUUAUCAGCUUGUUGGUGGGGUAGUGGCUUACCAAGGCUUUGACGGGUAGCCGGCCUGAGAGGGUGACCGGCCAAAUUGGGACUGGGAUACGGCCAAGACUCCUACGGGAGGCAGAAGUGGGGAAUAUUGCACAAUGGGCGGAAGCCUGAUGCAGAAACGCCGCGUGCGGGAUGACGGCCUUCGGGUUGUAAACGGCUUUCGCCUGUGACGAAGCGUGAGUGACGGUAAUGGGUAAAGAAGCACCGGCUAACUACGU